UAGCACACAGUUCUUUCUAAUCUGGUCGUUUGACUCUUGAGGGAGUAAGUCUGUAAUAGUAACUGGUGAAUUCUGUCCAGAGUUAGUAUUUUUGUGGUGGUUUUGGGCUUACCCAGUAUUG
Small nucleolar RNA from Ictidomys tridecemlineatus (thirteen-lined ground squirrel), 121 nucleotides. The record is from Ensembl. NCBI's taxonomy places the organism in Eukaryota, Metazoa, Chordata, Mammalia, Rodentia, Sciuridae.